This is an RNA transcript of Camelus dromedarius (Arabian camel), 2568 nucleotides long. It is a transcript of the gene named RAP1 GTPase activating protein, with no coding region annotated. The record is from RefSeq and is a predicted model, not a curated record. NCBI's taxonomy places the organism in Eukaryota, Metazoa, Chordata, Mammalia, Artiodactyla, Camelidae. The transcript has 26 exons.
GGCGGCGGCGGCGGCGGCUGCGGCGGCGGCACCAUGAGCGGCCGGAAGCGCAGUUUCACCUUCGGGGCCUACGGAGGGGUGGACAAGUCCUUCACCCCUCGCCGAAGUGUGUGGAGGAGUGAUGGGCAGAACCAGCGCUUCCCUCAGGCACUAGACCUGCCACGAGUGGACUUAGUUCCCUCCCACACUGCUUCACCCUACCCUAAGAACACAGAUCUGUUUGAGAUGAUUGAAAAGAUGCAGGGAAGCAGGAUGGAUGAACAACGAUGCUCCUUCCCACCACCCCUCAAAACGGAGGAGGACUACAUUCCCUACCCGAGCGUCCACGAGGUCCUGGGGCGAGAAGGGCCCUUCCCCCUUAUUCUGCUGCCCCAGUUCGGGGGCUACUGGAUUGAAGGCACCAAUCACGAAAUCACCAGCAUCCCAGAGACGGAGCCACUGCAGUCACCCACAACCAAGGUGAAGCUGGAGUGCAACCCCACAGCCCGCAUCUACCGGAAGCACUUUCUCGGCAAGGAGCAUUUUAAUUACUACUCACUGGACACUGCCCUGGGCCACCUUGUCUUCUCACUCAAGUACGAUGUCAUUGGGGACCAGGAGCACCUGCGACUGCUGCUCAGGACCAAAUGCCGGACAUACCACGAUGUCAUCCCCAUCUCCUGCCUCACCGAGUUCCCCAACGUGGUCCAGAUGGCAAAGCUGGUGUGUGAAGAUGUGAAUGUGGAUCGAUUCUAUCCUGUGCUCUAUCCCAAGGCUUCCCGCCUCAUUGUCACCUUCGACGAGCAUGUCAUCAGCAAUAACUUCAAGUUCGGAGUCAUUUAUCAGAAGCUCGGGCAGACCUCUGAGGAAGAACUCUUCAGCACCAACGAGGAGAGCCCCGCCUUCGUGGAGUUCCUCGAAUUUCUUGGCCAGAAGGUCAAACUGCAGGACUUUAAGGGGUUCCGAGGAGGCCUGGACGUGACCCACGGGCAGACGGGGACCGAGUCUGUGUACUGCAACUUCCGCAACAAGGAGAUCAUGUUUCACGUGUCCACCAAGCUGCCCUACACAGAAGGGGACGCCCAGCAGUUGCAGCGGAAGCGGCACAUCGGGAACGACAUCGUGGCUGUGGUCUUCCAGGACGAGAACACGCCCUUUGUGCCAGACAUGAUCGCGUCCAACUUCCUGCACGCCUACGUGGUGGUGCAGGCCGAGGGCGGGGGCCCUGACGGCCCGCUGUACAAGGUGUCCGUCACUGCACGAGACGAUGUUCCCUUCUUUGGGCCACCCCUCCCAGACCCCGCUGUGUUCAGAAAGGGGCCUGAGUUCCAGGAAUUUUUGCUGACAAAACUGAUCAAUGCUGAAUAUGCUUGCUACAAGGCAGAGAAGUUUGCCAAACUGGAGGAGCGGACACGGGCUGCCCUUCUGGAGACGCUCUAUGAGGAGCUACACAUCCACAGCCAGUCCAUGAUGGGCCUGGGUGGCGACGAGGACAAGAUGGAGAACGGUGGCGGGGGCGGCGGCUUUUUCGAGUCUUUCAAGCGGGUCAUCCGGAGCCGCAGCCAGUCCAUGGAUGCCAUGGGGCUAAGCAACAAGAAGCCCAACACUGUAUCCACCAGCCACAGCGGGAGCUUCACACCCAACAACCCCGACCUGGCCAAGGCGGCUGGAAUAUCAUUGCUUAUUCCUGGGAAAAGUGCGAGUAGAUUCGGACGCCGGGGCAGUGCCAUAGGCAUAGGAACCGUGGAAGAGUCACUGAUUGUCCCUGGGAAGAGCCCCACGAGGAAGAAGUCGGGCCCAUUCGGCUCACGCCGCAGCAGUGCCAUCGGCAUCGAGAACAUACAGGAGGUGCAGGAGAAAAGGCCCAGUGCUGAAUCCCCCCACUGCCCCUGUGUGCCCCGCAGGGAGAGCCCCCCGGCUGGCCAGAAGACUCCAGACAGCGGGCACGUCUCACAGGAGCCCAAGUCGGAGAACUCAUCCACUCAGAGCUCCCCAGAGAUGCCCACGACCAAAAACAGAGUGGAGACAGCAGCUCAAAGAGCAGAAGUGUUGAAGGACUUCUCCCGCUCCUCGUCCAGUGCCAGCAGCUUCGCCAGCGUCGUGGAGGAAGCAGAGGGUGUGGACGGGGACGAUACAGGCCUGGAAAGUGUCUCAUCCUCAGGGACACCCCACAAGCGGGACUCAUUCAUCUAUAGCACGUGGCUGGAGGACAGUGUCAGCACCACAAGCGGGGGCAGCUCCCCAGUGAGGUGGCUCCCUCCUGCCUCCCUCCCCAGGCCCCUCUCGGUCACCCCACCCAGAUGGCGGCAAGUCGGGGGACCCUGCAUGUCCCGAGAUCAAGAUCCAGCUGGAAGCAUCUGAACAGCACAUGUCCCAGCUGGGCUGAUAGCCAGGCUGCCCCCUGAAGGUGACACUGAGCAGAUGAGGCCACAGAAGCACAAUGUGAAGCUGCCGUGUCAAAUCCAGGCAGACAGGACCUCCGCCCCGAGGCCAGCACCAGCCUGUGGGCUGCCCUCUGCCUCCACAACCCUCCUCUUGGCCCACAGUCUACACUGUCUCUGCAGGGCGGAGCCGUCCAGACCUGGGAGU